GCUAGCUACGGGCUUAACACAUGCAAGUCGAGGGGCAUCAGGAAGAAAGCUUGCUUUCUUUGCUGGCGACCGGCGCACGGGUGAGUAACACGUAUCCAACCUGCCCUUUACUCGGGGAUAGCCUUUCGAAAGAAAGAUUAAUACCCGAUGGCAUAAUGAUUCCGCAUGGUUUCAUUAUUAAAGGAUUCCGGUAAAGGAUGGGGAUGCGUUCCAUUAGGUUGUUGGUGAGGUAACGGCUCACCAAGCCUUCGAUGGAUAGGGGUUCUGAGAGGAAGGUCCCCCACAUUGGAACUGAGACACGGUCCAAACUCCUACGGGAGGCAGCAGUGAGGAAUAUUGGUCAAUGGGCGCUAGCCUGAACCAGCCAAGUAGCGUGAAGGAUGAAGGCUCUAUGGGUCGUAAACUUCUUUUAUAUAAGAAUAAAGUGCAGUAUGUAUACUGUUUUGUAUGUAUUAUAUGAAUAAGGAUCGGCUAACUCCGUGCCAGCAGCCGCGGUAAUACGGAGGAUCCGAGCGUUAUCCGGAUUUAUUGGGUUUAAAGGGAGCGUAGGUGGACUGGUAAGUCAGUUGUGAAAGUUUGCGGCUCAACCGUAAAAUUGCAGUUGAUACUGUCAGUCUUGAGUACAGUAGAGGUGGGCGGAAUUCGUGGUGUAGCGGUGAAAUGCUUAGAUAUCACGAAGAACUCCGAUUGCGAAGGCAGCUCACUGGACUGCAACUGACACUGAUGCUCGAAAGUGUGGGUAUCAAACAGGAUUAGAUACCCUGGUAGUCCACACAGUAAACGAUGAAUACUCGCUGUUUGCGAUAUACAGUAAGCGGCCAAGCGAAAGCAUUAAGUAUUCCACCUGGGGAGUACGCCGGCAACGGUGAAACUCAAAGGAAUUGACGGGGGCCCGCACAAGCGGAGGAACAUGUGGUUUAAUUCGAUGAUACGCGAGGAACCUUACCCGGGCUUAAAUUGCAGUGGAAUGAUGUGGAAACAUGUCAGUGAGCAAUCACCGCUGUGAAGGUGCUGCAUGGUUGUCGUCAGCUCGUGCCGUGAGGUGUCGGCUUAAGUGCCAUAACGAGCGCAACCCUUAUCUUUAGUUACUAACAGGUUAUGCUGAGGACUCUAGAGAGACUGCCGUCGUAAGAUGUGAGGAAGGUGGGGAUGACGUCAAAUCAGCACGGCCCUUACGUCCGGGGCUACACACGUGUUACAAUGGGGGGUACAGAAGGCAGCUAGCGGGUGACCGUAUGCUAAUCCCAAAAUCCUCUCUCAGUUCGGAUCGAAGUCUGCAACCCGACUUCGUGAAGCUGGAUUCGCUAGUAAUCGCGCAUCAGCCACGGCGCGGUGAAUACGUUCCCGGGCCUUGUACACACCGCCCGUCAAGCCAUGGGAGCCGGGGGUACCUGAAGUACGUAACCGCAAGGAUCGUCCUAGGGUAAAACUGGUGACUGGGGC
This 1443-nucleotide ribosomal RNA is filed under the name uncultured organism. RNAcentral describes it as "SSU rRNA". It matches the Rfam family "Bacterial small subunit ribosomal RNA". The record is from RNAcentral.